This 209-nucleotide long non-coding RNA is filed under the name Capsicum annuum. Its description in RNAcentral is "long non-coding RNA (CANN_LNC002743)". The record is from RNAcentral. Lineage: Eukaryota; Viridiplantae; Streptophyta; Magnoliopsida; Solanales; Solanaceae.
GCUUCAAUUGAGUUCUAAACUCUUAGCAUAAAUUAGCUCUAUGUAGUCAAUCAAGUCAACUUAGAAAUCAGUUUUAAGUUAGGGGUUUUAUCUUUUCAACUCAAUUAUAACCCUUAUUUGCAAACAUAAUGGUGAAAUAUCCUUAUUUGUUGUAAAAAUUAUUCAAUAGGAGUAAUAGAUUUCGCUCCUAGUAAUGUUGCAACACCCCG